UUUUUUAAUGCUGGUAUCUCAUAAAACUAACCAUAAGAAUACAUGAUUCUUCUUUUUGUUGUUUUAUAAUUUUCUAAAUUGAAACCAAAAAAAAAUCCAGGAAAAUGCUGAUAUUUUUUAUUUCACCAGUGAAAAUCCUAAAUAGUGAAUAUCAAUGUAAAAAUAUCAGUUUUCAUUUGUUUUUAAUAAAUUUAGUAAAAGUGAGUGCUGUAUUUAUUCUCAAAUGUUUUUUUUUUUUUUUUUAUCAAGUAACAUUUUGUUGAAACUGAAAACUAAUGACAAACAUUAAUAGUUUAUAUGGUAUCUUUAGUGAGUCGUAGAUUGAUCUUAUUUUACUGUCAAAUCUGAUAGUUUUGUCUGUCCAAUAAGUCAGCAUGCUUUUUUCUAUGAUAUUAUUAUAUGCUGACUUGUUUGACAGACAAUGCUAAAAAUCUUAUGAUUACUUAAUUGUAAAAAAAGAAUGGCACAUAUUAGAUAUUUGAUCAUGAAAAAUGGGUAAAGUUUGAGUACUAUACAUUUAGACCUACAGUCGAGGUUGCAUACAUUACCAUUUGCCAUUUCAGAAUCUAAUGCAUUUUGGGUAAUAUUUUCAAACAUGUACAUCAAAACACUGUGAUUGGCUAAUGUUCAACCAAUGAAAUUCCAUAUUAUUUUCAUUCUGGUGCACAAACAAUUACCCACAAUCCUUGAGAUUCUGAAAUGGCGAAUUGAAGUAGAAGAGUUUUAAGAUUUUUGUUGUGAUUAUAUAAGUUAUGAAUGAGAUAUUGGUUUGUCAUUUGAUAAUAAUUAUGAUCUUGUUGAGAAUUUAUCCAAUGUUAAUUGUUUUUUGAAGAUAUAUCAUUAUAUGUCAUUUAUUAUUGUUGGUUAUGUUUAGUAAUCAUGUCAUGCUUGAGUUGUUUUACCCAGAAUUCCCUUUGAAAAAAAGUCAGCUGAAUUGAUUUUUCUCAGUUUUCUGCUUUUAAGAUUGACAAGAACUGGGACCUUUGAUCAAGUUAGUUUUAAAGCAAAAUAAGUCAUAGUCUCAUUCCAUAUUAGGCCUAAGUCAGUUAUUCAAGUACUAGAGGCAACAGAAUGCUAAACACUUAAAAAAAAGAAAAAUUUAAUAAAAAAAAAACAGGGGUGCUCAGAAACAGCGAUCAUUUUCUGCUUUUAUAGUGACAUCUGUCGUGUUUAUCUUUGCAAGUUAAAAUCACACAAUAAAAUUAAGAUUUCACUAAACAAAUAUAUACAAUUUUACAAAUGUUUGUAAAUAAAAAAAGAGCCUGAAGACUCUUAAUAAAACAAUUUAAAAUACUAAGGAAAAAAAUGUUCUUGUAGCCUCAUGUCUUUAUAAUUUUUUGAAACUUUAAUAAAAUAGCAUUUAAAGGAUUACAAUGAAGUUAUUCUUUGCUAUUCUUAAAGUGCAGAAAACUGGGAAAACAUCUGUCUUGCAAAACCUGCUUUUUCGAUUGUUUUAUAUCAAUGUUUUGUUUGUUUUCCAUAAUCGUAAUCAUGCUUUUACAUAUCAUUGAUUUCAAAUUUUACAGAUAUACCUCUGAAAUUUUUAUGUUAUUUGUCAACAAUUUUAAAACUUUUUUUCUUAUUUAUUUUAAAGUCUGUGUACAUUCCACAGGAUUUUGUUUAUUGUUUGUAAAUAAGGAUUAUAAGGAAACAUUGGAUAUGCAAGAAAAAACUAUUGUUGUGCAGUGCAAAUAAAUAAAUAAAAAACUGAA
This 1712-nucleotide long non-coding RNA is filed under the name Mytilus galloprovincialis (Mediterranean mussel). The record is from RNAcentral. Lineage: Eukaryota; Metazoa; Mollusca; Bivalvia; Mytilida; Mytilidae.